AUUAACCCGCCUUAAGUUAAGCCCAUAUUUUGAAAGGCGAAACCAGAAACUAAGGGACUCAUUUUUCUCGCACUGAACUAAGCGGAUACAGAUGUGGAGAAAAGAGUUUGCGAAGAUGAUCGCACAUCACAUCAGGUUCAUGAAAUUUUUCUGUUUAUUUAGAAAACGAAAGUGUAAUUUUCGUUCUACAACGCAUUGACAGAUUAAUCAGAAGAAUUUGAUAUUAGAUGUCAUAAUUUGCUAUUCAAUUUCGUACCUUCUGAUUAUCAGAAGCUGCCCAUGAAUUCCCCAUAGUGGGUAGCUAAUCGUUUUCCACGAGGUGGAGACAUUAUUUAAGCAUAUAAUUAAAUGCUCAUGUUGUAAAAUUGUGGAUUGUCAUCUGAAUGUCUUACAAAAAUGCUGAAUGUACUACACGUAUCAUGGAUCUUAUCGGUCUGAUUUUAUGCAUGUUUUUCUUUAUGUGGAAAGAGGGAAAAUGAUAGGAGAUGUGGGGUUUGAGAUGACUGGGAAGCCUCUUCUAAAAGAGCCCUGAAGCUGGACAAUGUCGGAUAUAUAUCACUGUGGAGUUGUAGCUUUAAAGUGCAUUGAUGAUAACAUUAGCUAGUUUUUGCCUAUUUUUAAGUGUUCUAUCAUUUCAACCAACGUAUAGAGGAAAGAUAUUGUGAAGGUUAUACCUCAAGCACAGACGUGAUUCUGCUGUGGAUACACUAUUAACAAUAGUAAUCUAAAAUAAAGAGCAAACGGUGAUGUGAGCACAAGAAAAUUAGAUGGAAGUUUAAUAGAAAAUUAAAGCUACGGAUCUUUUCAGAAAUAUGGAUGACAGUAAAGCAAGUUUGUUCAGUUGGACAGAUGCUACUUGGGUGUUCGUUCAGUUUGCAUUUGUAGUCAUGCUAAAUAUUUUGCUUAUUACAAUGACCUGAACUUUGAGUAAUCUGAAUUUUGGUUGUCUUUCUAUAUGAACUGCCUCUCAGCAUAGUAAUUGGUGCUAGUUGGGGUAGGUUUGUGUGCAUCUUAUGAACUUCUUUGUUGUUUACAACAAUUGAACAACUACCAGUAAUUUGUUCUUUCCUUUUCUGCUAUUGUGUAAAUGGAAAUGCAAAUAUGCAAACUCUCUGUCCUAGCGAAAACAUUUGUACUUUUUGUUUUCGUUAAUGUACAAUCUACAUGCACUUAAUCACAUUUUUUUUGUCUGUGCAUUUUAUAGUAUCUGUUGCCACAUGUAUUUUGAAUAUAACCUUAUAUUCCCUUUCUGGAUCAAUAUGAAAUUCAUGUUUCCUAAAAGGUUAUUCAACAAAUAAUGCUUGCCUCACCUUCCCACAACCCUUUUCUUUUUUUCUCUUAUUUGCAAAAAAAUAAAAAGGUAGAAAUGAAUCAGCCAGUAAUUCAUCAUCCCCUUGCUGCCCUUACUCUUGCAACAAAAGACAAACCUAUAACACGAAAUGUUAGUAAGUGUACAAGUUUUCCUCAUCAUUUUGGAUCCAAUUCUAGGCUCUUAAUUUCUUUUUUCACUGUUCCUUUAUCCAGUUAUUGUGUUCUGCUAGCUGGUGGUUUUGUUUGAAUACUUCUGAUGUUGUAGUGUAUUUACCAUACACAAUAAUCACUAUUCCCGAACUGCUUUGAUAUGCUUCUUCUUGAGCUGAGGGUCUAUCAGAAACAAUCUCUCUAGGGGUAAUGUCUGCACACGCUCUACCCUCUCCUGACCCCAUUUGUAGAAUUGCACUGAGUAUGUUGUUGUUGAACAAUCACUAUUGCCAUUACUAGAAGUUUAGAACUUACCCACAAGUGGUAAAAACUGUUCAACAAGGCUUUCUAAGUCAUCUAAUAUAAUGGUGAUGGAACCUUGACCUCUGCCUUGAAAAUUGCCCGUACUGGUCUGUGGUCUGACAAUCUGAACUCACCUCUAUUAUACUGGCUUUGCUUCAGUCCCUUUCCAAACCAUAUUAUCCGAUCACACCUACAUAAUGUUUUUCUUUAUUAGAUAUGCCUGUUUCAUAAUUUUUAGGUAAAACGCUCGAUUGUUCUUUUAGAACUUACCAAGCUGGGGCUCGACUCUUUCCUCUUUUCCCAUUCUGACUGCAGCCAUAAUAAUCAUCAGAAUCUGGAUAAUAUUUGUAUGUUGGUGCAAACUCGAUAUCUUCCUCUUGCCAGCCGUUGAAAAUACAACCUUCUCUUAGCUCGGCCUUCAGCUUCAUUUUUUCCAAGUUUUCAAUGUGAACUUCAAAAUAGUGGUGAUACUACGAGUACAAAACUCACUACAUGUUUGGAUACUUUUUGGAACUUCAAAUUUAUUCUUUUUGCUUUUAGUACCUGAUCAUUUUGUAGUAAGAUGCUCCACUGCCCGUCAUUGACUAAUGAUCUUGUUGUGGCUUCAGGUAAGUAAAUCCUAUAAUUCAGGUCGCCUAGCCAAAUCACCCUACUGUAUGAGAUUAAUCAGCUUAUGGUUGUUAGAAGAUAUUUUAAGAUAUUCACCAGUUGGAAUAUAAUAAUCAAUAUGUAUGUACGAAGUCAAGUCUUCUUUGUUGUGCUAAAGAAGUGCAAGUGUAAAAUUAUUUGUCCAAAUGCUGACAUGAGGCUUCAUAAGCAUUAUUAAGCACAGUCCCUCCUUCUCUUAUUUUUUUCUGCUUCUUUUUCUAAUUAAUUAAUCAGAUGCUAUGGUCUUGGACAGAAUAAUAGUGCUGGCUUCUUGACUUUAGGAAGCAUAAUAAAACUGUUUACUCUGUUAUCAGCAAACUGGCAGCUAAUUCUGUAGCAAGAGUCAGCAACUGUAACUUUGGCGAAAAUUUCUAGGACGAGGAAAUCCCAGCCUCUGGAUUAUUAAUUUUUUGUGACUGUUGUUAAUAAUUAUCGUAAAAAGGUAUACAUACUCGUGCUGUAGAAUUUUUCUUGGCAAAUACUGAAAUGAGUCGCAAGAAAAUCUUGUGCGUGAUAGUAUUUGAGAGGCAUCUGCAUUUCUCUGUCUCUCAUCUCCUUCUUUUCCUCCAGAAGCCAAAUGACUACACACAAAGCAGAAGCUUGUUUCAUGCAACCAAAAUCUAACCGACACUGAACCCUGUAUAUCAAAUACUGAAAAUUAGUGAACUGAACACUAGAUACAUAUGAUUGUGUUUCUAUCCAAUUUGUGUGUCCACAGGCUCCUCUGCUUCUUGGAGUGAACACCUUGGGGGUGGGGGAAGGGCAGCAUGUGUAAAUAACUCCUGUUGUUUGUUCCUUGAAUUUGCCAGUAACUAUUCUUGAUUAGGAAUGUGUUAUUAUGAACAAGAAAUAGAAAUUUAAUAUCAACUUUGUACCUUGUUUCCAAGGUAGCCAAAAAUACCACAGCCUACACAGGAGACACUUGUAUGACUGAUAUAGGGAAGGAGUGGAGACCGUGCCCAUACUGUAAUAAAUAUUCCCACCAUUUGCUUGCUAAUUAUGCAUUCAAAUUGUGUUGAAUUUUCUACAUUGAACUUCAAGGAACUCCCUUCCUUUAGUGGGUAAACUCUUACACUUUCUUCUUCCUCUGCCUCCUGAAGGGUUAUGUUGUUGACAUCUAUCUUGUUAAGAGCUGUGCUAAUAAGAGAAUUCCAUUGCAUGCAUAUAGUUGUAUUCUCUGGCACUAUAACACUUCCAGCAUUCAGAGGUACAAUUUCUUGAAACCUGAUAAAAGUAGUUUGCUCAAGAGUUGUACAUUCACAAAGUAGAAUUUAGACCAUCAAAUACUGCAAAUAUCACUAUACACUCUACUUCGUUGAUUAGGCUACAUGAUACCAGAUGCCUUGGGAUUACAAAGGGGGUGGAGGGGGAAAGGGACGGGUGAAGCCUACCCCACAAAAGCUGCAACUUGUAUCAGCCUGUCCGUGCUUAGCAUUUUUUUCCCUUCUAUUUUAACUCACCCAGCCCUUAUUGACCCCCCUGCCCCUCGUAGAAAAUGGCUUAUGUCCAACUUUUCAAGAGAUAGGUUAAAAAAAAGUUGAUCUAAUACAGUAGAACUUAUUAAUUUUAAUUACCCUACCCCUUCUCCGCCCACUUUUGAAGUUCAAAAAAUUGCCCCAUUGAAAUAGGCACAGAUGAUGAUGCAUUUGCAUGGCACUGCUACCCUAAGGGCGGCUGCAUAUGUGAAAUGCAGCCAUCAGGUGCUUUAGUUGACCUACCUAUAGUACAAUGCAGUAUAUGGAAGUAAAGGUUACCCGAGAACAUAAAUAUCAGCCAAGUUGUUUCGAGUAUCAAGCAAGUCCUCCAUGUUCAAGUCGUUUGGUGGUGCAAUGCCUCCAACAUUCCAUGAACUAACAAAUAACCUUAUUGAGAAGAAAAAAACAAUAAGUGUGAGAUAAACAGAAGUAUAUAGAAGAUUUGUAAAUGUUACUAUUGUUAAAUUGGCAUUGAAGUAUAUAGAAGAUUUGUAAAUGUUGCUAUUGUUAAAUUGCCGUACGUAAAAUUCUGUAUCUCAGCUAAGGGUGCUGAUGUUGAGUCAGAAUCAGCUAGCAUAUUCUCAUCAUCCAGUCUGCUCUACAGAAUGGUGUUUGCGGCAAAUUUAGCUACAUAGCCUUGAACUGAGGGCAGAAAAGAAGACUAAAGAAAACCAGAAUUUACAUCAUCAUGUAGGCAGAGUGCAUGUGAUUGAGGGUAGUGGGAGGUAGUGAGAGAGAGAGCAGUGGUAAUGGAAGCUAAUAAGUUAAAGGAAAGUGUUGGUAUACCUUUAUAUAAAGGGAAAGGAGGGUGAAAAUUUGAUUUGUAAAGAAGGGAGAUCUAGAGAUGUUAGGUUUUCUUUGGAUGUUGAGAGUGUAAAAAUGAUACUAUGGUGGGCUCUACAAAACACCAAUAAAGAGAAAUGAAUUGUUUAACAAGACAUUAAAAUUGAAGAAGACAGUUAAUGAAAAAUAGUUAGUGGAUAUUGGGAGGCCAAAAUCAUAAGGGAGGUGAUGUGAGCCAUGAUGCAAGUUGGAUUAAGAUCUUCUAUUUAACUUUGAACUAAUACUUUCUUACUUUGGAAAACCAAAGAGAUACUUUCAUUCUUUUGAUCACAUAGUGACUUUGUAACAUUCAAGGUUGGUUGUGAAGGUUAUAAGCACAUGGUUUUGUACUAACACUUAACAUCUUGCUAUACUUUGUUCUUUUGAAUUUCAUCAAUCUCUGGAUGUUGAUGUGCAUGAGGAAGUUAUUGUUAUCUAACUAUUGAAUUAUUUCAUGAAAUCAGGAUGACACCCUAACCACAAGUUUAGGCUGUAACAAGAGCCCUAGUAACUAUGAUGUGAAUAUCCAUUAAUCAAUUGUAUGCAAGAUAUUUGAAACUGAAACAUGAUAGAAACACUUAACCCUAACUAAUGUCUUCCUUUUCUGUAGAUACAGCUAAUGGAAGAGCAAGGAUGACUCAACCAGAUAACAGUUGUUUGAAUGGUAACAUUUUAACUACUGAUUUUUUUUUUCAUUAUUAUAUUGAGACCUCUUCUACUCUCCCAGACUUCGUGGGAUUACACCGGGUAUGUUAUUUUUAGGGUCAUUUAACUAAUUGGCCAAUUCCAUAGUCGUACUACGAGAAUUAACUAAUGCAUACUUCAGUAAAUCAUUUGGUAUUAAUAUAUUAACAUAAAUACAAAUUAAUCAAGGUCGUUUAAUCAUCAAUCAUGGUGAUUAAAAGUGUUGGAACUUUAAAAUAAUAAUCCGUUUUUUUCUAAGCAAAUAAGGCCAAUGGAUGUUGCUUAUCCUUAACCAAUCACGAUUAGUAAUUAUAUUAUUGGAGGAUGAUAAUUAUAGUCUUUCCUGUUUCUUUUCUUAUAUUAAAUUAAAUUAAAGAAGACGAAGUCGCUGAUAUCUGCGACAAACAUGAAUAGAGGAAAUAGUUUGAUAAUACAAAUGCAGUAUUAAUAGGACAACAUAGCUUGUUUUCUUGUUAUUUGUUCACAUAAAAACAGUAUUAAAAUGACAACAUAGAUUAAUUUGUUUAAUUUGAUGAAAAUGACAACAUGGAUUACUUUGUUAAUACAUUGGACGUACAGAAUUCCACCAAGGGAUGCUGUUCAGAGGCGGACCCACCUUUAUAGGUGGGGUGCACGUGCAUCUGUUAACUUUGGAAAAAAUUUACACAUGUAUAUUUAUCCCGAGAAACUGAUAGAAAUUAUGAUAUAAUUAACCGUAGACCCACAAGGAGCAUAAGACUAUUACUGUGUUGUUGUUACAAGCCAAAGAAAUCACCCGCGAGACCUGAGUUCGAAUCUAGCUAGAGCCCCUUUGAUGCUGUUAACGAGAUACCUUUUGGAUUAGUUAGCAGAAGACAAUUGAGAGAUUUUAUUUUUUGUUAUAAUUAUUACUUAAUUAACUAGAAGCUGAAUGCAGGCCUACAUUAAGACUUGAUUAUGAAAGUUCUUAUUUUUUUAAUUUUAUAAUUACCCCGUUCCUUUCAA
Molecule: long non-coding RNA, 6377 nt
Filed under: Solanum tuberosum (potato)
Lineage: Eukaryota; Viridiplantae; Streptophyta; Magnoliopsida; Solanales; Solanaceae
Description: long non-coding RNA (STUB_LNC006801)
Source: RNAcentral